This is a long non-coding RNA of Megalobrama amblycephala (Wuchang bream), 1138 nucleotides long. RefSeq lists it as uncharacterized. The transcript is spliced from 2 exons. Lineage: Eukaryota; Metazoa; Chordata; Actinopteri; Cypriniformes; Xenocyprididae. The record is from RefSeq and is a predicted model, not a curated record.
CUGUGAAUACCAUCUGUUCCAAAUGCAUUAUGGGAAAUGUAGUACAAAAAGGCGCAGGACUCGCACGAAACACUUGCCACCACCGCACACCACUUUUCAGGUGUUGUGUAUAUAAAUACAUAAGAAAUAAUGUAUUGGUAAGUCACUUGAGUAGCCACACGCGCAAAAUAACGGUUCGCAGUUUAGUGAUAAAUCAUUUAAAAAACUACAUAUCCCAAGUAGACUAUAAAACGAGAUUGGAGAAUGUGGGGUGAGGGUGUCUUGUUGAGGAGGGGGGCAACACACACGGACUACACGCAGCAUUGUGAGAAUUACAUUGUUGCACAUUAUCCAAGGGCUUAGAGACGAUAAAAUAACGCACAGCAGGACAAAACCUUAGUGCACAUCUGCAUCAGCGUACUAUGUGGACGCUGGAAACGACCACCGACAGAGAAUUCAUGUGAAUAAUCAUAUGGAAGCUGAAUGCUGUUCAUUUAGUGCAACAUCUACAACAGCCUGCAGAAAUUUACAUUCCAGAGAGGAGGAGAAGUGGGUGUCUUUACAUCCAAAAACUGUUUUAAGAAUACAUCAUGAUGAAGGGUUAUGCAUCUUAAGAGGCAUUGCAAGCAGAUAGUCCCAGAUUGUGUAGCUAGAGUGGUCCCUGACCCGCAUCAUGCAUAGAGACACUCAAGAGGGACCGGUGGCUUGCCCCUUUGUGUUCGAACCCAUCUCAUUUAUGUGAGGGUCUCAUUCCUCUCUGAACCCACCCUUACCGAUCUGCCAGCGUUGCUUAGAUACAGGAAAGAAAGAAGGGUAGCAAAUGAUUUUCUUGGGGUUGAUGUGACAGGGUGACCUAAUCAAGUCUUUGUCUCAUCCUUAUGCAGUUUGGUUAAAGUACACACAACUGAACUCUAUAAAUGUGAAUGUAAACUCAAUAAAGUGAAAUCAAAUAAGCAGUAUGUUGUCCAGAAAGACAACAAAAAUGUAUUAACAAUCAAACAUAUCCAUUUUAUUUUCUCAGGGAAACUUAUGGGAAAAGUGCAAGAUUUCCUUCCAUUUUUAUAGACAAGUAGAAUUUUCAAUAGCAUACAUCAACAUCAUGACUGUACUGGAAUUUCAACAUCAUUUGUGCAUUAAUAAACUCUAACUGUGCUUUAAA